RNAcentral lists this ribosomal RNA (429 nucleotides) under uncultured bacterium. Its description in RNAcentral is "partial 16S ribosomal RNA". It matches the Rfam family "Bacterial small subunit ribosomal RNA", at positions 29 to 505 of the family's 1533-position model. The record is from RNAcentral.
AACGAACGCUGGCGGCAGGCUUAACACAUGCAAGUCGAGCGCCCCGCAAGGGGAGCGGCAGACGGGUGAGUAACGCGUGGGGACGUACCUUUUGGUUCGGAACAACUCCGGGAAACUGGAGCUAAUACCGGAUAAGCCCUAACGGGGAAAGAUUUAUCGCCGAAAGAUCGGCCCGCGUCUGAUUAGCUAGUUGGUGAGGUAACGGCUCACCAAGGCGACGAUCAGUAGCUGGUCUGAGAGGAUGAUCAGCCACACUGGGACUGAGACACGGCCCAGACUCCUACGGGAGGCAGCAGUGGGGAAUAUUGGACAAUGGGCGCAAGCCUGAUCCAGCCAUGCCGCGUGAGUGAUGAAGGCCUUAGGGUUGUAAAGCUCUUUUGUCCGGGAAGAUAAUGACUGUACCGGAAGAAUAAGCCCCGGCUAACUUCG